CACACCGCCCGUCACACCAUGGGAGUGGGUUGCACCAGAAGUAGCUAGUCUAACCUUCGGGAGGACGGCUACCACGGUGUGAUUCAUGACUGGGGUG
This 97-nucleotide ribosomal RNA is filed under the name uncultured bacterium. RNAcentral describes it as "partial 16S ribosomal RNA". It matches the Rfam family "Bacterial small subunit ribosomal RNA", at positions 1386 to 1482 of the family's 1533-position model. The record is from RNAcentral.